RNAcentral lists this ribosomal RNA (283 nucleotides) under uncultured Pseudomonas sp. RNAcentral's name for it is "partial 16S ribosomal RNA". It matches the Rfam family "Bacterial small subunit ribosomal RNA", at positions 1098 to 1382 of the family's 1533-position model. Lineage: Bacteria; Pseudomonadati; Pseudomonadota; Gammaproteobacteria; Pseudomonadales; Pseudomonadaceae. The record is from RNAcentral.
ACACCUUGUCCUUAGUUACCAGCACGUUAUGGUGGGCGCUCUAAGGAGACUGCCGGUGACAAACCGGAGGAAGGUGGGGAUGACGUCAAGUCAUCAUGGCCCUUACGGCCUGGGCUACACACGUGCUACAAUGGUCGGUACAAAGGGUUGCCAAGCCGCGAGGUGGAGCUAAUCCCAUAAAACCGAUCGUAGUCCGGAUCGCAGUCUGCAACUCGACUGCGUGAAGUCGGAAUCGCUAGUAAUCGUGAAUCAGAAUGUCACGGUGAAUACGUUCCCGGGCCUU